This 1403-nucleotide long non-coding RNA is filed under the name Brassica napus (rape). RNAcentral describes it as "long non-coding RNA (BNAP_LNC007328)". Lineage: Eukaryota; Viridiplantae; Streptophyta; Magnoliopsida; Brassicales; Brassicaceae. The record is from RNAcentral.
AGAUUUUUUUCAACUAUUAGCUGGUCAACAAAUACAAAAUAUUAAUUACAGCCAUAAAAUCGUGAAUCUAUUUUAUAUAAAAAUUAUCUUGACAAAAACUUAUAAAAUAAUACUCCAUGUUAAUUUUAUUACAUUUUACGUCAAUACAUUUCAUAUCCAGAAUAAUACAUCAACUACUUUCUUUUUCUAUCUAAACUCAUCAACUAUUAUCGAGCUAUCCGCUUUAAAAAACUUUCCUUGAGUUUUUUUUUUAAACAAGCAUACAAAAGGCAGUACUUGCAAAGUUGCAAUUCAAGGAGAAUGCCAUAUUCUGUGGAAUAAUAUUUUAGAGUUUUUUCUAGAAAGUCUGAACUUUGGAGCCAAAACAAAGAAUUCCAGAAAAAAAAUCCCAAUUAGAAACAGAAAGCUGUUAUAUAUUUUAAUGAUAUUUUGUUUAUAUUUUUAAUUGGAAACAGGCAAAUUUCGCUACUGUUUAAUAAUAUUAAAAAUAUAAUUUUGGAAAAAUCAGAAAUUAGCAAAAUUAAAUGUGCAAUUCAAUCAAUUACAAUAGUAUGGUUAGUUUUGCAAUUGCAAUGUACCUAUUUCAAGUUGAACAAUACUUAGGUUCACCCCUAAGGUGAACCUUGAAAUUCACCACUUUCCUUAUAUCCAAUAAAUUUCCAUAUAUGUAAAUAAAUAAUAUAUAUUAAAUUAAAAAGCUAAAAUAACUUAAAAAAUAACUAAACUCUAAACUCUAAAUCAUAAAUCACUAAACCUUAAUUCUAAACACAAACCCUAAACCCAAAUCCAAAUCCUAUACCCUAAAUUUUAAACCCAAAUUCUAGAUCAUAAACUCAAAUCCUAUACCCAAAUUCUACACCUUAAACCCUAAAUCUAAACCCUAAAUCCUAGACCUAAACCCUAAAUCCUAGACCCUAAACCCUAAAUCCUAAACCUAAACUCUAAACCCUAAAUCCAAACCGUAAACCCUAAACCCAAACCGUAAACCCUAAACUCAAACUCUAGAUCUUAAACUCUAGUUUUGGGUUUAGGGUUUAAGAUCUAAAGUUUGGGUUUAGGGUUUACGAUUUGGGUUUAGGGUUUACGGUUUGAUUUAGGGUUUAGGGUUUGGGUUUAGGAUUUAGAGUUUAGGAUCUAGGAUUUGGGUUUAGAUUUAGGGUUUAAGGUGUAGAAUUUGGAUAUAAGGUUUGAGUUUAUGAUCUAUGAUUCGGAUUUAAAAUUUAGGGUAUAGGAUUUGGGUUUAGGUUUAAUGGUUUAUGAUUUAGAGUUUAGGAUUUAGUUAUUUUUUUAGUUAUUUUAGCUUUUUAAUUUAAUAUAUACUGUUUAUUUAUAUAUAUGGAAAUUUAUUAGAUAUAAGGAAAGUGGUGAAUUUAAAGGUUCACCCCUGGGGUGAACCUAAGUAU